CUAUUGUCCGGAGUUCUCUAUUCGUGUUAUUAUAGGCCUUGUCGCUUUGUUUUUUUUUCGGAGUGACUAUGGUGAUAAAUGGGUCACGGAAUAGGCUUUAUGGACCAGGGGGCGGUACCCUGCGCCUCCACCACCUUGUGUUUUUUUAUCAUUGCGGGGGCGAAAUAGGUUCGACAUGUUGCAGUAAAGGCGAUUUUUUCACUCGGUAUUGUACCACCGUUAUCGGGCUUUUUUUAAUAAAUGCCAAACUAUUUGCGUUAGGCAGAUGUUCCAGAGUCCGCAUCCGUAACAGGAACAGGCGGUCUCGUGUCAAAAAGGCCGCUUAGACACCCGUAUGGGGUUUGAGUAUCCUUUUAGUCAUACCGGUCUCGAAUAGAGGUCGGUAGGAACUGCGGUCCGGGGGAAACCGAGCAACAGAAUUCCCCCGCU
Molecule: transfer-messenger RNA, 429 nt
Filed under: Holosporales bacterium
Lineage: Bacteria; Pseudomonadati; Pseudomonadota; Alphaproteobacteria; Holosporales
Rfam family: Alphaproteobacteria transfer-messenger RNA
About the family: Bacterial tmRNA, also known as 10Sa RNA or SsrA, is named for its dual tRNA and mRNA-like properties. Its role is to liberate the mRNA from a stalled ribosome.
Source: RNAcentral